RNAcentral lists this ribosomal RNA (820 nucleotides) under Pseudohydnum gelatinosum. RNAcentral's name for it is "partial large subunit ribosomal RNA". It matches the Rfam family "Eukaryotic large subunit ribosomal RNA", at positions 71 to 879 of the family's 3401-position model. The record is from RNAcentral. Lineage: Eukaryota; Fungi; Basidiomycota; Agaricomycetes; Auriculariales.
AGGAUUCCCCUAGUAACGGCGAGUGAAGCGGGAAAAGCUCAAAUUUGAAAUCUGGCGGUCUACGGCCGUCCGAGUUGUAGUCUAGAGAGGUGUCUUCUGCGUCGGACCAUGCACAAGUCCCUUGGAACAGGGCGUCAUAGAGGGUGAGAAUCCCGUCCGUGGCAUGGACUCCCGGUGCUUUGUGAUGCGCCUUCGAAGAGUCGAGUUGUUUGGGAAUGCAGCUCAAAAUGGGUGGUAAAUUCCAUCUAANGCUAAAUACAGGCGAGAGACCGAUAGCGAACAAGUACCGUGAGGGAAAGAUGAAAAGCACUUUGGAAAGAGAGUUAAACAGUACGUGAAAUUGUUGAAAGGGAAACGCUUGGAGUCAGUCGCGUUUGCCGGGACUCAGCCUUGCUUCUGCUUGGUGCACUUCCUGGUACACGGGCCAGCAUCGAUUUUGAUCGCCGGAAAAAGGCUUGGGGAAGGUGGCACCUUCGGGUGUGUUAUAGCCCCUUGUUGUAUACGGUGGUUGGGAUUGAGGACCGCAGCACGCCUUUUGGUCGGGGUUCGCCCACGCCACGUGCUUAGGAUGCUGGCGUAAUGGCUUUAAACGACCCGUCUUGAAACACGGACCAAGGAGUCUAACAUGCCUGCGAGUGUUUGGGUGUAAAACCCAGGCGCGUAAUGAAAGUGAAAGGUUGGGACUCUUCGCUGAGGCACCGACGCCCGAUCCUGACGUUCUCUGACGGAUUUGAGGUAGAGCAUGUAUGUUGGGACCCGAAAGAUGGUGAACUAUGCCUGAAUAGGGCGAAGCCAGAGGAAACUCUGGUGGAGGCUCGUA